RNAcentral lists this ribosomal RNA (1321 nucleotides) under uncultured bacterium. Its description in RNAcentral is "bacterial SSU rRNA". It matches the Rfam family "Bacterial small subunit ribosomal RNA", at positions 8 to 1375 of the family's 1533-position model. The record is from RNAcentral.
AGAGUUUGAUCAUGGCUCAGAACGUACGCUGGCGGCACGCCUAACACAUGCAAGUCGAACGAAGUAUCAAUACUUAGUGGCAGACGGGUGAGUAACAUGUGGGUAUCUGCCCUUUGGCCUGGAAUAACACGAGGAAACUUGUGCUAAUACCGGAUAAGUCUUUACGGAGAAAGCUUUAUGCACCAUUAGGAUGAGCCCGCACUUGAUUAGUUUGUUGGUGGGGUAAUGGCCUACCAAGACUGUGAUCAAUAGCUGAUUUGAGAGGAUGAUCAGCCACAUUGGGACUGAGACACGGCCCAAACUCCUACGGGAGGCAGCAGUGGGGAAUCUUGCACAAUGGAGGAAACUCUGAUGCAGCGAUGCCGCGUGAGUGAAGAAGGCCCUUGGGUUGUAAAGCUCUUUCGUCGGGGAAGAAAAUGACUGUACCCGAAUAAGAAGGUCCGGCUAACUUCGUGCCAGCAGCCGCGGUAAUACGAAGGGACCUAGCGUAGUUCGGAAUUACUGGGCUUAAAGAGUUCGUAGGUGGUUGAAAAAGUUGGUGGUGAAAUCCCAGAGCUUAACUCUGGAACUGCCAUCAAAACUUUUCAGCUAGAGUUUGAUAGAGGAAAGCAGAAUUUCUAGUGUAGAGGUGAAAUUCGUAGAUAUUAGAAAGAAUACCAAUUGCGAAGGCAGCUUUCUGGAUCAUUACUGACACUGAGGAACGAAAGCAUGGGUAGCGAAGAGGAUUAGAUACCCUCGUAGUCCAUGCCGUAAACGAUGUGUGUUAGACGUUGGAAAUUUAUUUUCAGUGUCGCAGCGAAAGCGAUAAACACACCGCCUGGGGAGUACGACCGCAAGGUUAAAACUCAAAUGAAUUGACGGGGACCCGCACAAGUAGUGGAGCAUGUGGUUUAAUUCGAAGAUACGCGCAGAACCUUACCAACACUUGACAUGUUCGUCGCGACUUUAAGAGAUUAAAGUUUUCGGUUCGGCCGGACGAAACACAGGUGCUGCAUGGCUGUCGUCAGCUCGUGUCGUGAGAUGUUGGGUUAAGUCCCGCAACGAGCGCAACCCUCACUUUUAGUUGCCAUCAUUAAGUUGGGCACUCUGAAAGAACUGCCAGUGAUAAGCUGGAGGAAGGUGGGGAUGACGUCAAGUCCUCAUGGCCCUUACGUGUUGGGCUACACACGUGCUACAAUGGUAUUUACAACAGGAAGCAAAACAGCGAUGUUAAGCAAAUCCUUAAAAAAUACCUCAGUUCGGAUUGCACUCUGCAACUCGAGUGCAUGAAGCUGGAAUUACUAGUAAUCGUGGAUCAGCGUGCCACGGUGAAUGCGUUCCC